This 301-nucleotide ribosomal RNA is filed under the name uncultured bacterium. Its description in RNAcentral is "partial 16S ribosomal RNA". It matches the Rfam family "Bacterial small subunit ribosomal RNA", at positions 509 to 809 of the family's 1533-position model. The record is from RNAcentral.
CAGUCGCCGCGGUAAUACGGAGGGUGCAAGCGUUAUCCGGAUUUAUUGGGUUUAAAGGGUCCGUAGGCGGAUCUGUAAGUCAGUGGUGAAAUCUCACAGCUUAACUGUGAAACUGCCAUUGAUACUGCAGGUCUUGAGUAAAUUUGAAGUGGCUGGAAUAAGUAGUGUAGCGGUGAAAUGCAUAGAUAUUACUUAGAACACCAAUUGCGAAGGCAGGUCACUAAGAUUUAACUGACGCUGAUGGACGAAAGCGUGGGGAGCGAACAGGAUUAGAUACCCGCGUAGUCCCUGUCUCUUAUAU